Long non-coding RNA from Oncorhynchus keta (chum salmon), 866 nucleotides. RefSeq lists it as uncharacterized. NCBI's taxonomy places the organism in Eukaryota, Metazoa, Chordata, Actinopteri, Salmoniformes, Salmonidae. The transcript is spliced from 3 exons. The record is from RefSeq and is a predicted model, not a curated record.
UAGGUUACCAACAGACAGGUGCUAGGUUACCAACAGACAGGUGCUAGGUUACCAACAGACAGGUGCUAGGUUACCAACAGACAGGUGCUAGGUUACCAACAGACAGGUGCUAGGUUACCAACAGACAGGUGCUAGGUUACCAACAGACAGGUGCUAGGUUACCAACAGACAGGUGCUAGGUUACCAACAGACAGGUGCUAGGUUACCAACAGACAGGUGCUAGGUUACCAACAGACAGGUGCUAGGUUACCAACAGACAGGUGCUAGGUUACCAACAGACAGGUGCUAGGUUACCAACAGACAGGUGCUAGGUUACCAACAGACAGGUGCUAGGUUACCAACAGACAGGUGCUAGGUUACCAACAGACAGGUGCUAGGUUACCAACAGACAGGUGCUAGGUUACCAACAGACAGGUGCUAGGUUACCAACAGACAGGUGCUAGGUUACCAACAGACAGGUGCUAGGUUACCAACAGACAGGUGCUAGGUUACCAACAGACAGGUGCUAGGUUACCAACAGACAGGUGCUAGGUUACCAACAGGGAGGUGCUAGGUUACCAACAGGGAGGUGCUAGGUUACCAACAGGGAGGUGCUAGGUUACCAACAGGGAGGUGCUAGGUUACCAACAGGGAGGUGCUAGGUUACCAACAGGGAGGUGCUAGGUUACCAACAGGGAGGUGCUAGGUUACCAACAGGGAGGUGCUAGGUUACCAACAGGGAGGUGCUAGGUUACCAACAGGGAGGUGCUAGGUUACCAACAGGGAGGUGCUAGGUUACCACCGGUGUGUGUUAAGCCUUAAGUUCUUCUCUGUACCAUGUUAUCAGAAAACACACAUGGAAUAUGAGUGUGUGUGUGAGGUCUGAC